This 419-nucleotide ribosomal RNA is filed under the name uncultured bacterium. RNAcentral's name for it is "bacterial SSU rRNA". It matches the Rfam family "Bacterial small subunit ribosomal RNA", at positions 362 to 775 of the family's 1533-position model. The record is from RNAcentral.
UUUUGGGCAAUGGGCGAAAGCCUGACCCAGCAACGCCGCGUGAAGGAUGAAAUCCUUCGGGAUGUAAACUUCGCAAGAACAGGAAGAAUAAGCCGGUGUUAACACCAUCGGUGAUGACGGUACUGUUUGUAAGCUCCGGCUAACUCCGUGCCAGCAGCCGCGGUAAUACGGGGGGAGCAAGCGUUGUUCGGAUUUACUGGGCGUAAAGGGCGCGUAGGCGGCCACCGCAAGUCAGUUGUGAAAUCUCUGGGCUUAACCCAGAAAGGUCAACUGAUACUGCGGGGCUAGAGUGCAGAAGGGGCAACUGGAAUUCUCGGUGUAGCGGUGAAAUGCGUAGAUAUCGAGAGGAACACCUGCGGCGAAGGCGGGUUGCUGGGCUGACACUGACGCUGAGGCGCGAAAGCUAGGGGAGCGAACGG